Molecule: ribosomal RNA, 253 nt
Filed under: uncultured bacterium
Lineage: Bacteria
Description: partial 16S ribosomal RNA
Rfam family: Bacterial small subunit ribosomal RNA
Source: RNAcentral
UACGUAGGGGGCAAGCGUUGUCCGGAAUCAUUGGGCGUAAAGAGCGUGUAGGCGGCCUGGUAAGUCCGCUGUGAAAGUCCAGGGCUCAACCCUGGAAUGCCGGUGGAAACUGUCAGGCUAGAGUCCGGAAGAGGAGAGUGGAAUUCCCGGUGUAGCGGUGAAAUGCGCAGAUAUCGGGAAGAACACCCGUGGCGAAGGCGGCUCUCUGGGACGGUACUGACGCUGAGACGCGAAAGCGUGGGGAGCGAACAGG